GGCUCAGGACGAACGCUGGCGGCGUGCUUAACACAUGCAAGUCGAACGAUGAAGCCUGGCUUGCUGGGUGGAUUAGUGGCGAACGGGUGAGUAACACGUGAGUAACCUGCCCUUGACUCUGGGAUAAGCGCUGGAAACGGCGUCUAAUACCGGAUACGACCUGCCCCGGCAUCGGGUGUGGGUGGAAAGUUUUUCGGUCAAGGAUGGACUCGCGGCCUAUCAGCUUGUUGGUGAGGUAAUGGCUUACCAAGGCGACGACGGGUAGCCGGCCUGAGAGGGUGACCGGCCACACUGGGACUGAGACACGGCCCAGACUCCUACGGGAGGCAGCAGUGGGGAAUAUUGCACAAUGGGCGAAAGCCUGAUGCAGCAACGCCGCGUGGGGGAUGACGGCCUUCGGGUUGUAAACCUCUUUUAGUAGGGAAGAAGGGCUUCGGCUGAC
Molecule: ribosomal RNA, 442 nt
Filed under: Rathayibacter iranicus
Lineage: Bacteria; Bacillati; Actinomycetota; Actinomycetes; Micrococcales; Microbacteriaceae
Description: bacterial SSU rRNA
Rfam family: Bacterial small subunit ribosomal RNA
Source: RNAcentral